RNAcentral lists this transfer RNA (73 nucleotides) under Burkholderiales bacterium. Its description in RNAcentral is "tRNA-Lys". It matches the Rfam family "tRNA". From Rfam's summary of the family: Transfer RNA (tRNA) molecules are approximately 80 nucleotides in length. Their secondary structure includes four short double-helical elements and three loops (D, anti-codon, and T loops). The record is from RNAcentral. Lineage: Bacteria; Pseudomonadati; Pseudomonadota; Betaproteobacteria; Burkholderiales. RNAcentral also lists the same sequence under 1 other name.
GACUUCGUAGCUCAGCUGGUAGAGCAAAUGACUCUUAAUCAUUGGGUCGAGGGUUCGAAUCCCUCCGAGGUCA